AUUGAACGCUGGCGGAAUGCUUUACACAUGCAAGUCGAGCGGCAGCGCGGGGGCAACCCUGGCGGCGAGCGGCGAACGGGUGAGUAACAUAUCGGAACGUACCCAGUCGUGGGGGAUAACUAUCCGAAAGGAUAGCUAAUACCGCAUACGUCCUGAGGGAGAAAGCGGGGGAUCGCAAGACCUCGCGCGAUUGGAGCGGCCGAUAUCGGAUUAGCUAGUUGGUGGGGUAAAGGCUCACCAAGGCGACGAUCCGUAGCGGGUCUGAGAGGACGACCCGCCACACUGGGACUGAGACACGGCCCAGACUCCUACGGGAGGCAGCAGUGGGGAAUUUUGGACAAUGGGCGAAAGCCUGAUCCAGCCAUGCCGCGUGAGUGAAGAAGGCCUGG
Molecule: ribosomal RNA, 389 nt
Filed under: uncultured bacterium
Lineage: Bacteria
Description: bacterial SSU rRNA
Rfam family: Bacterial small subunit ribosomal RNA
Source: RNAcentral